AGUUGUACGAGUUCAGACUCGUAGCAGAUAGCUCAGUAACACGUGGCCAAACUACCCUAUGGAUCCGGACAACCUCGGGAAACUGAGGCUAAUCUGGAAUACGACUCUCAUCCUGGAGUGGAUAAAGUUCCAAAUGCUUCGGGCCCCUUAGAAGGGGGUUCCGGCCAAUUAGGUAAACGGGGGGGUACCGGCCCACCGGGCCGUUAUCCGUACCGGUUGGGAAAAGCAGAAGCCCGAAAACGGAUUCUAAAACAGAUACCGGGGCCUUCCGGGGCGCGGCAGCCCCGAACCUUUUACUUCCAGGCCAUGGCAUAAGGGGAAUUCCAAUGGCAAGGGCAUAGGCCCUCGUUUUCAGACCGAAAGGGGCGGUGAAUAGGUGCUGGGCAAGACCGGUGCCAGCCGCCGCGGUAAUACCGGCAGCACGGGUGAUGACCGCUAUAAUUGGGCCUAAAGCGUCCGUAGCUGGCCGCGCAAGUCUAUCGAGAAAUUCGUCGGCCUAACGGGCAGGCGUCCGGUAGAAACUUGUGGCUUGCGACCGGAGACCCGAGGGUACGUCUGGGUAGGAUGAAUCCUGUAAUCCUGGACGACAGCGUUGCGAAGCCUCUGGAAGACGAUCCGACGUAGGACGAAGCUCGGUCCGACGAUAGUACCAUAGUCGCUGCACGAUGUGCUAGUGUACCAGCUACGAGCUGGAUGGCGUAGAGCGUGA
RNAcentral lists this ribosomal RNA (709 nucleotides) under Natrialba sp. RNAcentral's name for it is "bacterial SSU rRNA". It matches the Rfam family "Archaeal small subunit ribosomal RNA", at positions 56 to 817 of the family's 1478-position model. Lineage: Archaea; Methanobacteriati; Methanobacteriota; Halobacteria; Halobacteriales; Natrialbaceae. The record is from RNAcentral.